UGAUUUUGUUCUUUUAAUUAGUUUACACAAGUUCUUCCCGGUUAUUGAUUUUGGUUUGAUUGUUCAGAUAAAACCACUGAAAUUAAACAGGAGGUUAAGGUAGACUAACAUUAGAAUCUGUUUUCAUUAUGGGGAACAAUGAAAGGCCCGCAGAGGGGAUUGCAGGCUGAGGUUUUUAUGUUAAAGGGACAGUGCACGUUUAUCACAGUUGUUUGUGUGUCUAAUGGCUGGGUAUCUAAGAAGUAUUUUUGGGGAGACAAUUUGGAGAAACACGAAUAAAACAUGAAACAUCGAGACAAAUUAUUUGAGUUUGAGGGGAUUAUCAUAAUUAUUAGGUUUUGUUUUUGUCGUAAACGUUUGGGUUAAGGGGAUUUCCACGUUCCCAGAGACAUGGUAUUUUACAGAUAGGGGAAAAGGCAGACGGAGGGGCCCUCCCCCGCCCUGCAGAGACCUUGAAGGUUGGAGAGCAGAGGAGAGGUUUUGGAAAGGGGGGGGGGGGGGGCAGGACAGGCAAAGAUAACAGUUGCUGAGUGGAGACAGGGGAGAGAGUUGGACAUGUGGAAAAUGAUGGGGGCGCUCCUUCAUGAUGAUGUCAGACAUAAGGAUAAUAUACUAAUCUUACCUAAGUCAUGAUUUAGAGUAGGUAAGGUUGUUACCUGGGCAGAGCCAGGUAUCAAAAGGGGGGGAUGGGUAAAUGUGGUCUAGGAUAGGAUGGGGCCGAUUGGAUAAGAAACUAAUAAUUUAAAAAAAAUAAAAAAAUAUGUAAGCUAACAAUUGGGCAUAGAAGUUAAAGAUAUAAUCAGAUAAAACAUAUGAGAAAUUGUUUGUUAACCAAGCCUGUAUGUCCAGGAUUUUAUGCAUUACAGGUGAACUACAGGUGAAGUCACUCAAUCCAGUCCCAGAGGCUUGGGGACCAUAGAUGACCCCUGGUGACAGCUAGCUGAAAGCGCUACCCAGAUUCAUAUCGCACGGCGGAAGGGUAAGACACUUUUUCACUGUUGGACUAUAAACAGAGUUCGGGAGAAGAACUGGAAUUAACAGAAUUCCGGGGGCCAACUCUCGAAUGAAGUAACCCUACCUGUCCUAUCACCCCUGUUUUUGUUCAUAGAAGUGAAGAUGUGUCUGGCUCUGGCUAAGUGAUGUGUAUUUUGUUCCAAAAUAAGCAUAAGAGAUCCCUUGAUCUGGGUAUUUGUAAGUCGCUCUGGAUAAGAGCGUCUGCUAAAUGACUUAAAUGUAAAUGUAAAUGUAGACAAGAAGUUAGAGUAGAGAUUACAUGAUAACCGACUUCGGACAGUUCUAGGAUUGGAGAAGAGGGUAUCCUUAUAGCAUGGGGGAUCCCACAAGGGUGGAUAGGUUUUCCAUGAUAUGGGGAAACCUGGGAGCAAUGUUGAACUUUGUAAAGGUGAUGAAAUCCUACUAACCAUCAAAACUAUUAAGCUCUCUGAUGCAGGCACUCACACCCUCGGACUACAAAGGACGAGGACAGACAUGAUGGGUGUGUUUUCUAUUAAGGUACUGCCAAGACCAGAGGUAACCGGACACACUCCUCUACCACCACUGUGUUAAAAAUACCAUUCAGGUAAUUAAUGUUAGAGACUAUUCGGCUAUUGAUCAAUUAGGAACUGAGACUGGUUUUGAUAGUAGGGACAAUUUGUGGCUGUCUUAUAUGAGGUACACAGCUAAAACCCUGAGAGGAAAGGACUGUAUUAUUUGUAGUCAUGCUAGACCUGUUCUGGCUACACACCCAUUUGCUGCAGGAGAAACAGAGGGGUGGUUGUGUAUUCUGAGAAGUUUUUACCAGGUUAAGCCCAAUUCAACCCUCUGUUCCUCUUUGAGCCUUGUGUUUCCUGCAGUACCUCCUCAUGGGGCCAUUUGGGGUGUUGAGGCAUGGGGGGGGAAAUUGCAGUUGCAUCACGGGUACAGGUAAUGGCAUUGAUUAUGGGAGAUUGCCUGAAGCUGAUUGCAGUAGUAACAUAACCAUUAAUUCCACUUGGCCAGUUACAGGCCUAAACCAAACUAAGUGGUCUGGCAGAUGUGUGGAGCCAAAAGAGUGCUGAGACCCAUUCUUAGAGGAGAAUGGCAAGGUACGUGUGGUCUGACCAGUUUGAUAAUUCCACCGACCAUUGUUGAUGUUACUGCUGAACAGCUGUUGGGUUCUGUAUCCAGGGGACCUGAAAACAUUCCAUCCCAUGGGAGACAUAGACGUAGCGCUCCAUGGACAGAGAAUGUAGUUGCCAUAAACACUAACCUGUUGGGUGUGCCAGUGGGGGUUCCUCAUGAGUUUCAGGCCUUGGGUAGGAAUGAUGGACUCUGGCACUUACUACCUACUAUGGGUCCAGCCAUGGUGGAUGCUAGACAGACUGCAUGGAUUAAUUAUAUCUACUAUAAUCAACAGCGUUUUGUGAAUUACUCCCGUGAUGCACUCACUGGUAUGUCUGAACAGCUUGAGGCCACAUUUGGGGUUUCCAGACAGAAUAGACUUGCCUUGGAUAUGCUUCUUGCCAGUCAGGGGGACGUUUGCAAGAUGUUCGGUAAACAAUGUUGCACGUAUAUUCCUAAUAAUACCAGUCCAGAUGAUAUCUAGGGCGGGCUUGAUGCACUAUCUGAUAAGAUGAGGUCCACAGGGGGGGUGGAGGAGUCUGUUCUCUUGGCCUGGUUUGGUAAGUACACUGAUAUGAUGGUUACUGGAUUUCUGACCCUAAUUCUUGUAUUAUUUGUUAUUGAUGUGAUGUGCUGCUUGCAUCAUACCGUGUUCUAAGAAAUAUGUUACAGAUAUGGUGAAGGCUUCAGGCAUGUUGCCUUUGCUUGAUGCUCCAGUUGGAGAUGCCGAUACGGAAGCAUGCUUUCAGGAGAGGAUGGGACUGACUGAGGAUGACCCAUGGUAUGCUGUGGGUGAGGUAGUAGAAUAAUUUUACACCACCACAGUUCCUUGUUAUAAAUUUUUAUGAUAGGUUUUCUUUCCAGUAUGUUUGUUCUCCCUGUUGUAAAGGUUUAGAGUCCCUGGGUGGCAAGGAGCCCACCUGGUACAGGAUAGGAGUAGCUGAGAGGACCAGAUGGUUUCUAAUAAUUCUUUCCUCUGUUUUCCAUGACCAAAGUUUUAUCCUACAUCUUACAUGUCAAUAACAAUAAAGUUUUAUCCUGUUUUUGAUAAGUGACACCCUUGUGGGUGUCAAAAGGGGGAAACGCAUAUAACAAUAGACAUAUAUCACUUGUUAUUAAUAAUACACUUUUUAUUAUUUUCAUGAAAUGCUAUGACUGCUGAAAUAAAGGAUAAUGAGUGUCAAAAGGGGGACUUAAAUUUCACACCAUUUUCUUUUGUUCUGCUUUUGAAUGAGCUGUUGUUCAUUUUUGUUCACACCCUUGGGGUUAUUUUACAUUAUAGCCAUUACCAUAUAUAUGAUUGAAUAUUAUCUGCUGUUGCCUUGGGUGGAUGUGUGUAUGUGUUAUGUUCUCUAGCUGAUUUGAAACAUUGUUAAAAGUAUCAGGGACAUGGAACUUUCUCAUGCUGGGAAAAUACAGAAGGGAGGGCACAUUCAGAGCGUGGGGUUGCGAGAACAAGCGGUCUUUUGUUAGAUAACAGGAGCCAGGUGCGAGAUAACGGUAUGGAGCAUGAGACCCAUCUUUUAGUUUUUGCAGCCAUUUUAGUGUUGUGCGGCUGCGGUUGCAUUCCAUGUAUCCGGUCCCUUAUUGCUAGAGUUAUCUCCAGAGCUAUUGACCCUUCUUCCCCUUCCCAGAUGUAUCCUCUGCUUGCUAAUGACCUGCCAGAGUUUGAGGAUGAGGUGGAGAAUACCCAUUAGAGCGUGUCACAUCUCUUUGGAGAUGUGAAGAGAGGGUAUCACAACUUUUUCCUGCUGGAAAAUGUUGGCUUAUGUGGACAAACAUUUUACUUAUAGCUUAGAGCUGUUGUUCUCCGCAAUUGUUAAAUGAGGGUUGUAAGUUCCUAGGUGGCUGGUAGCCAACUUAGUACAUAGUGGGAUUGAGUGGAGAACUUAGUGGUAAUACAUAUACAUCCAUUUCUUUUUAAUGUUGUGCCUUUUUCAUAGCCCCUUUGGGAAAAGUUUUCUUUUGUAUCAGAAUCUAGUUAGGUUGUGUCACGUCUCUGGGGAGAUGUGAAGAGAGGGAUUUGUAGAGGACUGCUAAUUCCUAUGUAGGUGACAUUACAUUACUAUUAAUUCCUAUGUAGGUGACAUUGCACUACUAUAGCUGAGACAACGUAUUUUCAUAAGUAAAACAGGUUGGGCCCCAUACAGGAUAUUUCUCACACACACACUCACUCAAAUCAUCCAGAACACUGUCACAACAGGAUACUCCUAGCCACAGGUGCUAGCCGGCAGUUCGGCCACAACUCCCCUGAAGAUAGGGACGCACACACUUUACACACUGACCCCAGAAGACAGGGACGACGCACAUACAGUACACACAUAGCUGCCGAGGACACCCAGAUAAGACACCCACAGAUUGGCAGAAAGCCUAGACUUAGUGACUGAAGAUAGCGCACACACCAGAUCUCCUUUUCAGCUGAACAUGGUGUGACGACCAAGAACAGGCAUGGCAGGAUUCUACGAUGACGGACAGACAACAGAGCCAAUGCCGGAUGACUACACCCCAGCCUGAUCCAAUCCGAAGAUCCGAUCUCCUAGAAAUCAAACUACUUUCUGUUCUGUAUAUGAAGCUUGUACCCACUGUUAGCAAGUGCCUUUUUGCUAGUCUCUGAUGAGCCAACAGAGGGGCCCGUAUAUACGCCGUACCAGAUAUCUUCACUCUGAAUAAACCUGUCGCUUGUCGUACAAUCUA
This is a long non-coding RNA of Oncorhynchus nerka (sockeye salmon), 4794 nucleotides long. RefSeq lists it as uncharacterized. NCBI's taxonomy places the organism in Eukaryota, Metazoa, Chordata, Actinopteri, Salmoniformes, Salmonidae. The record is from RefSeq and is a predicted model, not a curated record. The transcript is spliced from 2 exons.